This 400-nucleotide ribosomal RNA is filed under the name uncultured bacterium. Its description in RNAcentral is "bacterial SSU rRNA". It matches the Rfam family "Bacterial small subunit ribosomal RNA", at positions 359 to 776 of the family's 1533-position model. The record is from RNAcentral.
GAAUAUUGCGCAAUGGAGGAAACUCUGACGCAGUGACGCCGCGUAUAGGAAGAAGGUUUUCGGAUUGUAAACUAUUGUCGUGAGGGAAGAAAUUGACAGUACCUCAGGAGGAAGCUCCGGCUAACUAUGUGCCAGCAGCCGCGGUAAUACGUAGGUGGCGAGCGUUAUCCGGAAUGAUUGGGCGUAAAGGGUGCGCAGGCGGUCCUGCAAGUCUGGAGUGAAACGCAUGAGCUCAACUCAUGCAUGGCUUUGGAAACUGGAGGACUGGAGAGCAGGAGAGGGCGGUGGAACUCCAUGUGUAGCGGUAAAAUGCGUAGAUAUAUGGAAGAACACCAGUGGCGAAGGCGGCCGCCUGGCCUGUUGCUGACGCUGAGGCACGAAAGCGUGGGGAGCAAAUAGG